UACGUAGGGUGCAAGCGUUGUCCGGAAUUAUUGGGCGUAAAAGAGCUCGUAGGCGGUUUGUCGCGUCUGCUGUGAAAACGCGGGGCUCAACUCCGCGCCUGCAGUGGGUACGGGCAGACUAGAGUGCAGUAGGGGAGACUGGAAUUCCUGGUGUAGCGGUGGAAUGCGCAGAUAUCAGGAGGAACACCGGUGGGCGAAGGCGGGUCUCUGGGCUGUAACUGACGCUGGAGGAGCGAAAGCGUUGGGUAGCGAACAGG
This 257-nucleotide ribosomal RNA is filed under the name uncultured bacterium. Its description in RNAcentral is "partial 16S ribosomal RNA". It matches the Rfam family "Bacterial small subunit ribosomal RNA", at positions 524 to 776 of the family's 1533-position model. The record is from RNAcentral.